This 627-nucleotide ribosomal RNA is filed under the name uncultured bacterium. RNAcentral's name for it is "bacterial SSU rRNA". It matches the Rfam family "Bacterial small subunit ribosomal RNA", at positions 73 to 696 of the family's 1533-position model. The record is from RNAcentral.
GAAGAGCUUGCUCUUCGAUUCAGCGGCGGACGGGUGAGUAAUGCCUAGGAAUCUGCCUGGUAGUGGGGGACAACGUUUCGAAAGGAACGCUAAUACCGCAUACGUCCUACGGGAGAAAGCAGGGGACCUUCGGGCCUUGCGCUAUCAGAUGAGCCUAGGUCGGAUUAGCUAGUUGGUGAGGUAAUGGCUCACCAAGGCGACGAUCCGUAACUGGUCUGAGAGGAUGAUCAGUCACACUGGAACUGAGACACGGUCCAGACUCCUACGGGAGGCAGCAGUGGGGAAUAUUGGACAAUGGGCGAAAGCCUGAUCCAGCCAUGCCGCGUGUGUGAAGAAGGUCUUCGGAUUGUAAAGCACUUUAAGUUGGGAGGAAGGGCAUUAACCUAAUACGUUGGUGUCUUGACGUUACCGACAGAAUAAGCACCGGCUAACUCUGUGCCAGCAGCCGCGGUAAUACAGAGGGUGCAAGCGUUAAUCGGAAUUACUGGGCGUAAAGCGCGCGUAGGUGGUUCGUUAAGUUGAAUGUGAAAUCCCCGGGCUCAACCUGGGAACUGCAUCCAAAACUGGCGAGCUAGAGUAUGGUAGGGGGUGGUGGAAUUUCCUGUGUAGCGGUGAAAUGCGUAGAUA